CAAAUCAGAUAUACUGCCGGAAAACAACAGAGCUCAACUGGUUUUGGAAGUUAAGCAGGAUUUGGUCUAGUUAGGACUUGGAUGGGAGAUUACCAGCAAAUACCAGUGUUCUCUUGGC
Molecule: ribosomal RNA, 118 nt
Filed under: Pogona vitticeps (central bearded dragon)
Lineage: Eukaryota; Metazoa; Chordata; Lepidosauria; Squamata; Agamidae
Source: RNAcentral